GUUCAGUUUUCUUCUAAGAAGGGCCUCCCAAUUUUCUGCCUGGGCAUUGCAAGCAUGGCUGCUGGUUUUCUGGAAGCAGGGUUGGGAAGCAAGGUGGAGUUUCACUUUGUGUGUGCCAUUUGCUCCCAUUUCCCAGGUUUCAGCCCUGGUGGGUCUGAGCUCAGAAACCUUCAGGUGUAAUAUAUCCAGGGAAUACACAUCCACAUUCCUUCUAAGAGGAGAGGAUAGGUGGACCUGCGGUUCUAACCACAGAUUUACUAUUGACCUUGCCGGCUCUGUUGUGUUUCACCCUACCUUCCCAGAUACCUCCAUGGCAUCUUGAUAGAAAAUACAGCUCAUGUUCCACCAUAUUCCUGGAUAACAGCACAGUUAGCAAGCCUGAUCUCAGCCAAAUAUUAGGAUGGUGAGUACAACGAGGUUGCCAAGGGCUGAGUGACAGACCCCCGUAAGCUAAAAGCAUCCCGGCCAUCCGCUGUUAGUUCAGCCAUUUGGUUGCCCUUUUCAGCAGGCAGUUGGAGAAUUUGAUAUCAAUGAUAAAUGGCUUUUUCGGGACCUAAGUAUGAAUUUGCUGUAUCUCUAUUUAUCUUAGACACUGUGUGGUAAAAGGGAAAGCCAGUUAGCAAAUAAGCAAUCCCAGAAAAAGCAUAGUUAUUUAUUUGAUGCAUUUAUGUUAUGGCAGUAUUGAACCUAAUGGGCAGGAGAAGUGCUU
Molecule: long non-coding RNA, 709 nt
Filed under: Saimiri boliviensis boliviensis (Bolivian squirrel monkey)
Lineage: Eukaryota; Metazoa; Chordata; Mammalia; Primates; Cebidae
Description: lncRNA (ENSSBOG00000036740.1)
Source: RNAcentral